This is a long non-coding RNA of Passer domesticus (house sparrow), 1117 nucleotides long. RefSeq lists it as uncharacterized. The record is from RefSeq and is a predicted model, not a curated record. The transcript is spliced from 3 exons. NCBI's taxonomy places the organism in Eukaryota, Metazoa, Chordata, Aves, Passeriformes, Passeridae.
AUUUCUAACACUUGGCUAAAGCCCUGAGGAAAUAGAGCAGGGACAGAUUUCCAGCAGAUGACACAGUGCAUUCUUAGACUGAGAGUGGGAAAUUUUUUUGCUUAGUUUCCUAAAUGGAGCUGGCUUUGAUGGUUUGUUGUUUUCUCCACAGCUGACUUUGGCCUCUUUGCUCAGCUCACUCCUGAGCAGAGUAGACAAAGCUCCGUGGCCAGCACUUCUGGGUGGAUGGCGCCUGAGUGGUGACAGGUCAACCAUAUGGCCCCAAAGUGGACAUAUGGUCUUUUGGAAUUGUGGGCAUUGAAAUGGUGGAACAAGAAGCUCCUUACUGGAAAGAAACUUCUGGCAUGCCUCGACUCGUGAUAGCCAGACGAGGGAUACCAAAGCUGCUGCAGCCCAACCUGUUUUCACCUUGGCUGUGUGACUUCCUGAGCUGCUGCCUGCAGACAGACAAGGAGCAGCGCUGGUCUGCCAAGGAGCUCCUGCAGCAUCCAUUUGUAAGAUUUGCUGAGCCUGCAUCCAGCCUGGUGCCACUGAUUGUUUCAGUGAAGAAGAGGAAUGACCAAAGAAACUGAAAAUCACAUCAGGACCAUUUACUUCUCAACCGGCACAGGGCAGGAUUGUAGGUUCGGACAAGGGUUAGGGUUAGGGUUAGAGUUGGGGUUAGGGUUAGGGUUGGGGUUAGGGUUAGGGUUGGGGUUAGGGUUAGGGUCAGGGUCAGGGUUAGGGUUAGGACUAGAGUUAGGACGAGGGUUAGGACUAGGAUUAAGGUUCAGGUUAGGGUUUAGGACUAGGCUUAGGUUUCGGUUAUGAUUGUCUAAUAGGCCUGCUGAUUAGAAAUUAAUAAAGUUUCUGAAACCAAAACUCUCCCUGAAAUUUCCUUCCUUCUCACUCUCUGAAUAAGCUCUUGAUUUCCUUGUAAAUUUUCUUUUGUUUCUUAAAGGUGGAAGUCACCCAUACAGUGUCUUUGCUAUGGUGUCAAAUUGGGGAAUGCUCAUCCUCAUUUAUGCUCUCCAGACCAUGCUGCUUUUGGAAUGUAACCCACUGGCUGGAAGGAGGCCCUUGGAGCUGCACGAGGCAGCAGCCGGGCCCUGGGUGCCUCUUCCUGGCAGCGGGCGAA